This 254-nucleotide ribosomal RNA is filed under the name uncultured bacterium. RNAcentral describes it as "partial 16S ribosomal RNA". It matches the Rfam family "Bacterial small subunit ribosomal RNA", at positions 524 to 776 of the family's 1533-position model. The record is from RNAcentral.
UACGUAGGGGGCGAGCGUUGUCCGGAUUCAUUGGGCGUAAAGCGCUUUAAGGCGGUUCGCUAAGUCGGGUGUGAAACCUCCAGGCUCAACCUGGAGACGCCACUCGAUACUGGCGUGACUAGAGUCCGGUAGGGGACCACGGAAUUCCUGGUGUAGCAGUGAAAUGCGUAGAGAUCAUGAGGAAGACCAGUGGCGAAGGCGGGUCUCUGGACAGUUCCUGACACUGAGACACGAAGGCCAGGGGAGCAAACGGG